This 694-nucleotide ribosomal RNA is filed under the name uncultured Clostridium sp. RNAcentral's name for it is "bacterial SSU rRNA". It matches the Rfam family "Bacterial small subunit ribosomal RNA", at positions 28 to 750 of the family's 1533-position model. Lineage: Bacteria; Bacillati; Bacillota; Clostridia; Eubacteriales; Clostridiaceae. The record is from RNAcentral.
GAUGAACGCUGGCGGCGUGCCUAACACAUGCAAGUCGAGCGAUCUUCUUCGGAAGAGAGCGGCGGACGGGUGAGUAACGCGUGGGUAACCUGCCCUGUACACACGGAUAACAUACCGAAAGGUAUGCUAAUACGGGAUAACAUAAGAAAGUCGCAUGGCUUUCUUAUCAAAGCUUUUGCGGUACAGGAUGGACCCGCGUCUGAUUAGCUAGUUGGUAAGGUAACGGCUUACCAAGGCGACGAUCAGUAGCCGACCUGAGAGGGUGAUCGGCCACAUUGGAACUGAGACACGGUCCAAACUCCUACGGGAGGCAGCAGUGGGGAAUAUUGCACAAUGGGCGAAAGCCUGAUGCAGCAACGCCGCGUGAGCGAUGAAGGCCUUCGGGUCGUAAAGCUCUGUCCUCAAGGAAGAUAAUGACGGUACUUGAGGAGGAAGCCCCGGCUAACUACGUGCCAGCAGCCGCGGUAAUACGUAGGGGGCUAGCGUUAUCCGGAAUUACUGGGCGUAAAGGGUGCGUAGGCGGUCUUUCAAGUCAGAAGUGAAAGGCUACGGCUCAACCGUAGUAAGCUUUUGAAACUGUAAGACUUGAGUGCAGGAGAGGAGAGUGGAAUUCCUAGUGUAGCGGUGAAAUGCGUAGAUAUUAGGAGGAACACCAGUUGCGAAGGCGGCUCUCUGGACUGUAACUGACGCUGAG